UAGUCCACGCCGUAAACGAUGGACACUUGGUGUUGGAGGUAUUGACCCCUUCAGUGCCGUAGCUAACGCGUUAAGUGUCCCGCCUGGGGAGUACGGUCGCAAGAUUAAAACUCAAAGAAAUUGACGGGGGCCCGCACAAGCGGUGGAGUAUGUGGUUUAAUUCGAUGCAACGCGAAGAACCUUACCUGCCCUUGACAUUGACAGAACCCUUUAGAGAUAGAGGGGUGCUUCGGCCUGGAAAACAGGUGCUGCAUGGCUGUCGUCAGCUCGUGUCGUGAGAUGUUGGGUUAAGUCCCGCAACGAGCGCAACCCUUAUCCUUAGUUGCCAGCACGUAAUGGUGGGAACUCUAAGGAGACCGCCGGUGGCAAACCGGAGGAAGGUGGGACGACGUCAAGUCAUCAUGGCCCUUAUGGGCAGGGCUACACACGUGCUACAAUGGCCGGUACAGAGGGUUGCCAACCCGCGAGGGGGAGCGUAAUCCCAGAAAGCCGGUCGUAGUCCGGAUUGGAGUCUGCAACUCGACUCCA
This 528-nucleotide ribosomal RNA is filed under the name uncultured bacterium. Its description in RNAcentral is "bacterial SSU rRNA". It matches the Rfam family "Bacterial small subunit ribosomal RNA", at positions 791 to 1320 of the family's 1533-position model. The record is from RNAcentral.